UACACACCGCCCGUCACAUCACGAAAGCCGGCUGUACUAGAAGUCGCUGUGCUAACCCUUUGGGGGGCAGGCGCCUAAGGUAUGGUCGGUGAUUGGGGUG
Molecule: ribosomal RNA, 100 nt
Filed under: uncultured bacterium
Lineage: Bacteria
Description: partial 16S ribosomal RNA
Rfam family: Bacterial small subunit ribosomal RNA
Source: RNAcentral